This 488-nucleotide ribosomal RNA is filed under the name uncultured bacterium. Its description in RNAcentral is "bacterial SSU rRNA". It matches the Rfam family "Bacterial small subunit ribosomal RNA", at positions 501 to 987 of the family's 1533-position model. The record is from RNAcentral.
CUACGUGCCAGCAGCCGCGGUAAUACGUAGGUGGCAAGCGUUGUCCGGAUUUAUUGGGCGUAAAGCGAGCGCAGGCGGUCAAUUAAGUCUGAUGUGAAAGCCCCCGGCUCAACCGGGGAGGGUCAUUGGAAACUGGUUGACUUGAGUGCAGAAGAGGAGAGUGGAAUUCCAUGUGUAGCGGUGAAAUGCGUAGAUAUAUGGAGGAACACCAGUGGCGAAGGCGACUCUCUGGUCUGUAACUGACGCUGAGGCUCGAAAGCGUGGGUAGCAAGCAGGAUUAGAUACCCUGGUAGUCCACGCCGUAAACGAUGAGUGCUAAGUGUUGGAGGGUUUCCGCCCUUCAGUGCUGCAGUUAACGCAUUAAGCACUCCGCCUGGGGAGUACGACCGCAAGGUUGAAACUCAAAGGAAUUGACGGGGGCCCGCACAAGCGGUGGAGUAUGUGGUUUAAUUCGACGCAACGCGAAGAACCUUACCAGGUCUUGACAU